Molecule: ribosomal RNA, 324 nt
Filed under: uncultured eukaryote
Lineage: Eukaryota
Description: partial 18S ribosomal RNA
Rfam family: Eukaryotic small subunit ribosomal RNA
Source: RNAcentral
CCCUUAGAUGCUCUGGGCCGCACGCGCGCUACACUGGUCGAUGCAACGAGUUUCUUUCCUUGGCCGACAGGCCUGGGCAAUCUUUGAACAUCGAUCGUGAUCGGGAUAGAUUCUUGUAAUUUUUGAUCUUAAACGAGGAAUUCCUAGUAAACGCAAGUCAUCAGCUUGCAUUGAUUACGUCCCUGCCCUUUGUACACACCGCCCGUCGCACCUACCGAUUGAAUGGUCCGGUGAAAUCUCCGGACUGGCGUUAGUCGGAGCAAUCUGACAAACACCGGAAAGUUGAUUAAACCUUACCAUUUAGAGGAAGGUGAAGUCGUAACA